Molecule: ribosomal RNA, 131 nt
Filed under: Strychnos trichocalyx
Lineage: Eukaryota; Viridiplantae; Streptophyta; Magnoliopsida; Gentianales; Loganiaceae
Description: partial 5.8S ribosomal RNA
Rfam family: 5.8S ribosomal RNA
About the family: 5.8S ribosomal RNA (5.8S rRNA) is a component of the large subunit of the eukaryotic ribosome. It is transcribed by RNA polymerase I as part of the 45S precursor that also contains 18S and 28S rRNA.
Source: RNAcentral
UGCAUCGAUGAAGAACGUAGCAAAAUGCGAUACUUGGUGUGAAUUGCAGAAUCCCGUGAACCAUCGAGUUUUUGAACGCAAGUUGCGCCCGAAGCCUUUUGGCCGAGGGCACGUCUGCCUGGGCGUCACGC